AGCAGCCGCGGUAAUUCCAGCUCCAAUAGCGUAUAUUAAAGUUGUUGCAGUUAAAAAGCUCGUAGUUGAAUUUCGGAAUCAAUUUGUUGGUCGUGCCUCGGUACGUACUGGUAUUAUUGGUUUCUACCUUCUGAAGAACCUUGAUGUCAUUAAUUUGGUGUCUUGGGGAAUCAGGACUGUUACUUUGAAAAAAUUAGAGUGUUUAAAGCAAGCAUACGCUUGAAUACAUUAGCAUGGAAUAAUGAAAUAGGACGUUUGAUUCUAUUUUGUUGGUUUCUAGGAUCGACGUAAUGAUUAAUAGGGAUAGUUGGG
This 312-nucleotide ribosomal RNA is filed under the name uncultured Glomeromycotina. Its description in RNAcentral is "SSU rRNA". It matches the Rfam family "Eukaryotic small subunit ribosomal RNA", at positions 569 to 886 of the family's 1831-position model. Lineage: Eukaryota; Fungi; Glomeromycota. The record is from RNAcentral.